AUCAAAUAAAGGCAAAGCCAUUGGAAAAUGGUGACGCAAAGCUAUAGGGUCUCAAUCGCAUAUGCGACAGACAGCCAGUUGCUGGC
Molecule: non-coding RNA, 86 nt
Filed under: Butyrivibrio proteoclasticus
Lineage: Bacteria; Bacillati; Bacillota; Clostridia; Lachnospirales; Lachnospiraceae
Also listed under: 1 other name
Description: c-di-GMP sequence
Rfam family: c-di-GMP-I riboswitch aptamer
About the family: GEMM was predicted in a large-scale screen for bacterial structured RNA regulatory elements. Genes associated with GEMM are involved in a diverse array of functions, including chemotaxis regulation, signal transduction, secretion and chitin.
Source: RNAcentral